Molecule: non-coding RNA, 30 nt
Filed under: Rattus norvegicus (Norway rat)
Lineage: Eukaryota; Metazoa; Chordata; Mammalia; Rodentia; Muridae
Source: RNAcentral
UGCUAAAGUCCUAUCCUAGAGAAACCAAUU